This 643-nucleotide ribosomal RNA is filed under the name Boophis marojezensis. RNAcentral describes it as "partial 16S ribosomal RNA". The stretch from base 1 to 440 matches the Rfam family "Bacterial large subunit ribosomal RNA", at positions 619 to 1301 of the family's 2925-position model. The record is from RNAcentral. Lineage: Eukaryota; Metazoa; Chordata; Amphibia; Anura; Mantellidae.
UCUAGCUAGUCUACCAGCAAACGACUUUUAGUUUGCCCACCCGAAACUAAGUGAGCUACUUUAAAAUAGUUUCAGAACUAACCCGUCUCUGUUGCAAAAGAGUGGGACAAUUUUAAAGUAGAGGUGACAAACCUACCGAACUUAGAGAUAGCUGGUUAUUUAAGAAAAGAAUUUUAGUUCAGCCUCAAGCUUUUUCCCAUUAAACAAAAACUCACCUUAAGCUUAAGAGUUAUUCAAAUAAGGCACAGCUUAUUUGAAACAGGAUACAACCUAGAACACAGGGUAAGAUACAUAAAAUUUUAGCAAGUAGGCCUAAAAGCAGCCAUCUUUUAAAAAGCGUCAAAGCUUAGUACUAAAAAGUCCAUUAAUACUCUCAACAACUUCUAACCCCCAUUUACUAUUAAAUAGUCCCAUAACAUUAUGGAAGCUAUAAUGCUAGAACAAGUAACAAGAAAAAGACUUUCUCCAAAGUGUGAGCCUAAGCCAGAAUAGACAGACUACUGGCAAUUAACGUAUAUAAACCGAUUGUAGCAACACUAACAAGAAAACCCUACACUUUUAACCGUUAAUCUAACACUAGCACACUCAUGGAAAGAUUAAAAGAAGGGGAAGGAACUCGGCAAAUAUUGACCCCGCCUGUAAU